RNAcentral lists this ribosomal RNA (468 nucleotides) under uncultured bacterium. Its description in RNAcentral is "partial 16S ribosomal RNA". It matches the Rfam family "Bacterial small subunit ribosomal RNA", at positions 28 to 507 of the family's 1533-position model. The record is from RNAcentral.
GACGAACGCUGGCGGCGUGCUUAACACAUGCAAGUCGAACGGAAAGGCCCUGCUUUUGUGGGGUGCUCGAGUGGCGAACGGGUGAGUAACACGUGAGUAACCUGCCCUUGACUUUGGGAUAACUUCAGGAAACUGGGGCUAAUACCGGAUAGGAGCUCCUGCUGCAUGGUGGGGGUUAGAAAGUUUCGGCGGUCGGGGAUGGACUCGCGGCUUAUCAGCUUGUUGGUGGGGUAGUGGCUUACCAAGGCUUUGACGGGUAGCCGGCCUGAGAGGGUGACCGGCCACAUUGGGACUGAGAUACGGCCCAGACUCCUACGGGAGGCAGCAGUGGGGAAUAUUGCACAAUGGGCGGAAGCCUGAUGCAGCAACGCCGCGUGCGGGAUGACGGCCUUCGGGUUGUAAACCGCUUUCGCCUGUGACGAAGCGUGAGUGACGGUAAUGGGUAAAGAAGCACCGGCUAACUACGUG